AGAGACUAGCAGAGAAAGAGAAAGAAAUGGGAGGAGGAUGAACAGAAAUUGAAGAGCAGCGGCGUAUGACGUCUUCAUAGACAUACAUAGCACAAGUUCUACUUGUCAGAAAUGAAUGGUAUAUUCAAAGGAGGGCCCUGCGGUAUGGAUACAUCUUCCGUGAGAGUUCUACCAAGAAGUUCUUGGAUGGUCAUGAUUUUUUU
This 203-nucleotide unclassified non-coding RNA is filed under the name Hevea brasiliensis (rubber tree). The record is from RNAcentral. Lineage: Eukaryota; Viridiplantae; Streptophyta; Magnoliopsida; Malpighiales; Euphorbiaceae.